AUUGAACGCUGGCGGCAUGCCUUACACAUGCAAGUCGAACGGCAGCGGGCCUUCGGGUGCCGGCGAGUGGCGAACGGGUGAGUAAUGCAUCGGAACGUGCCAUUGAGUGGGGGAUAACGUAGCGAAAGUUGCGCUAAUACCGCAUAUUCUGUGAGCAGGAAAGCAGGGGACCGCAAGGCCUUGCGCUCUUUGAGCGGCCGAUGUCAGAUUAGCUAGUUGGUGAGGUAAAGGCUUACCAAGGCGACGAUCUGUAGCGGGUCUGAGAGGAUGAUCCGCCACACUGGGACUGAGACACGGUCCAGACUCCUACGGGAGGCAGCAGUGGGGAAUUUUGGACAAUGGGCGCAAGCCUGAUCCAGCCAUGCCGCGUGAGUGAAGAAGGCCU
Molecule: ribosomal RNA, 385 nt
Filed under: uncultured bacterium
Lineage: Bacteria
Description: bacterial SSU rRNA
Rfam family: Bacterial small subunit ribosomal RNA
Source: RNAcentral